CUCUCCACCCAGUUGAGCAACUUCAGCUGUUCCCGCCUCCUAUCUCGUCAUUCUCCGGGAGAGUGAGCAGCCAUACUUCCUGCUUGGACUGCUGGUGACCUGCUCACUCUCUAGUCCAUAGAUGCUGCCAAGGACAAUGAAAGAGAACACAGGACUAAAGAACAUUGGGAGUAAGGCAUCUUGAUUUCUGGGGAGACUGAAAACUAUCAGCUCUCCAGAUAUAUUCCAGGACUGUAGCACCAUGUGGGGCAACCGAGGCUUACAGACUCUUGGAUGGACAACUACCAAAUUCUCAGCCUUUUCAUUAUGGGACAAUCAUUGUUGCACCAGCUUGCCAUAGCCUGGCGGAAGAACACAUCUCCAGCUUUGCAGAAGUUACAGGAAGGAGGAAGGAAGUGAGCAGUGACCCAGGACCUGGAGUCCAGCAGGUUUCUCAGAGGCAGAAAGAUGGGGCCAUUCUCAACAGGAGCGGGGAGA
Long non-coding RNA from Peromyscus leucopus (white-footed mouse), 477 nucleotides. RefSeq lists it as uncharacterized. The transcript is spliced from 3 exons. Lineage: Eukaryota; Metazoa; Chordata; Mammalia; Rodentia; Cricetidae. The record is from RefSeq and is a predicted model, not a curated record.